GGAGAGAUGACCGAGUGGCCGAAGGUGCACGACUGGAAAUCGUGUGUGCGCUAAUACCGCACCGUGGGUUCGACUCCCACUCUCUCCGCCA
This 91-nucleotide transfer RNA is filed under the name Nitrospiraceae bacterium. RNAcentral's name for it is "tRNA-Ser". It matches the Rfam family "tRNA". From Rfam's summary of the family: Transfer RNA (tRNA) molecules are approximately 80 nucleotides in length. Their secondary structure includes four short double-helical elements and three loops (D, anti-codon, and T loops). Lineage: Bacteria; Pseudomonadati; Nitrospirota; Nitrospiria; Nitrospirales; Nitrospiraceae. The record is from RNAcentral.